CCGGGCCGCACGCAUGCCAGGCGAGCAUGCUACCGCUUGAGCCACAUCCCCAGCCCCCUGGAUUUUUUAAUCUUUUUAAAAAUAUUUUUUAGUUUUAGGUGGACACAAUAUCUUUUUUUAUUUUUAUUUUUUAAAGAGAGAGAGAGAGAGAGAGAGGUAGAGAGAGAGAGAAUUUUAAUAUUUAUUUUUUAGUUACCGGCGGGCACAACAUCUUUUGUUUGUAUGUGGUGCUGAGGAUUGAACCCAGGCUGCACGCAUGCCAGGCGAGCGUGCUACCGCUUGAGCCACAUCCUCAGCCCCUGGAUUUUUGAGUCCUAUCUCCCUGACAACUGGAAGUCUGUGACCAUGAGCUAUAACAUUAUUUCUUUCACCACUUUUUGGGGGGCUGUUUCCUUACUUGUAAAAUAAGCAUUUCUGUUUUCAAGUAUCUUCUGAUCAGGAUGUUCUGGGGGAUAUGAACUUUUUACUGAUUUGUGGACUACCAGAGUCACACAAAUGUCUUCCCAGGUAUGGGGCUGAAAUACAUAUGGGUUUUGAUAGUUUCCAGAACUUCAGACUAUUCAGACUUCCAUGGUGGGAAUUUGUAUCUUUAGCUUCCAAGGUUAAGUUGCAUCACAGUCUGGUAGCAUAUUUUUUUUUCCUUUUUUUUUUUUUAAAUAUUGACUUUUUUUAAGGUGGAC
Molecule: long non-coding RNA, 680 nt
Filed under: Marmota monax (woodchuck)
Lineage: Eukaryota; Metazoa; Chordata; Mammalia; Rodentia; Sciuridae
Source: RNAcentral